Molecule: ribosomal RNA, 1141 nt
Filed under: uncultured Sebacina
Lineage: Eukaryota; Fungi; Basidiomycota; Agaricomycetes; Sebacinales; Sebacinaceae
Description: eukaryotic LSU rRNA
Rfam family: Eukaryotic large subunit ribosomal RNA (bases 465-1141)
Source: RNAcentral
UGUGCAUCUAUGACUCGAGGUUGUAAUGACUGAGAGUAACUUUUAUACACUCUUGUAUGUAAUGGAAUGUCUUUUUGUGCUAUAAUGUACAAUAUAAACAACUUUCAACAACGGAUCUSUUGGCUCUCGCAUCGAUGAAGAACGCAGCGAAAUGCGAUAAGUAAUGUGAAUUGCAGAAUUCAGUGAAUCAUCGAAUCUUUGAACGCACCUUGCACCCUUUGGUAUUCCGAAGGGUACGCCCGUUUGAGUGUCAUUGUAAUCUCACUUCUACAACUUUAUUGUUGUUUGAAUGUGGACUUGGAUGUUGCCGUUUUAUCACGGCUCGUCUUAAAUGCCUGAGUGUACCCUGUUUUGCAGCGUAUCCAGUGUAAUAAACAUUUCACUAGAGUUGGUCGAAAGACCACGUUGACUAUAUGGGCUCUAUGCUUCAAACCGUCUGCCAUGUGGACAAUUUCUUGACAAUUUGACCUCAAAUCGGGUGGGACUACCCGCUGAACUUAAGCAUAUCAAUAAGCGGAGGAAAAGAAACUAACAAGGAUUCCCCUAGUAACGGCGAGUGAAGAGGGAAAAGCUCAAAUUUUAAAUCUGGUGUCUUUGACUCCCGAGUUGUAAUCUAGAGAAGUGUUUUCCGUGUCGGACCGUGUACAAGUUCCCUGGAACGGGGCGUCAUAGAGGGUGAGAAUCCCGUAUAUGCCACGGACUACCGAUGCUCUGUGAUACACUCUCAACGAGUCGAGUUGUUUGGGAAUGCAGCUCAAAAUGGGUGGUAAAUUCCAUCUAAAGCUAAAUAUUGGCGAGAGACCGAUAGCGAACAAGUACCGUGAGGGAAAGAUGAAAAGCACUUUGGAAAGAGAGUGAAACAGUACGUGAAAUUGUUGAAAGGGAAGCGUUUGAAGUCAGUCGCAUCUGUUGGGGUUCAGCCUGGCUUUUGCCUGGUGUAUUUCCUUUCCGAUGGGUCAGCAUCAGUUUCGACCGAGGGAAAAAGACAUUUGGAAUGUGGCUGUCUUCGGGCAGUGUUAUAGCCUUGUGUUGUAUGUCUCGGUUGGGACUGAGGAUUGCAGCGCGCCAUAAAUGGCCGGGGGUCGCUCCUCUCGACACGCGCUUAGGAUGCUGGCAUAAUGGCUUUAAGCGACCCGUCUUG